GCGGUGGUUCCACGUCCACAGUGGGGUCAGCUCCUAUCAGACACCUCUUCAGGGACUGAGUCUUUCUGGAGGACUGACCGAGGGCUUGGGAAUGAUUUCUAAGGGUCUCUCUUUCGUUCUGAUGAUUCAAGGAGCACACAUCCCCUUCUGGAAGCCCCACAAGAGCUGGCCAUCAUCCCUCUGGCUUUGCCGACUCCCUUCCCCAGGAUCCUAGGUUUCCAUCCUUCCUCCUCUGCGGCCCCUGAUUUGGGGAAAGGAGACCUCACCUGUGAAAAUUGUAGCUCACCCGUCCAAACCAACCAAUCUUGAAGUUUCCUGAGAAGUCAGGCAACCUGAUGGCCGGCAGCUCCUUUCUCAGGGUGGCCACUGCAUACUGGUUUGCUGGGUGGGGAGAGGGAAAAGAAGGAUCUGUGAGCCGAGUGAGUUCAUUCAGUGGGAGGCAGAUUUGGUGGCCGGGCUUUAGAAUCACACACGCUGGGUUAGAAC
Molecule: long non-coding RNA, 486 nt
Filed under: Marmota monax (woodchuck)
Lineage: Eukaryota; Metazoa; Chordata; Mammalia; Rodentia; Sciuridae
Source: RNAcentral